GAUGAACGCUGGCGGCGUGCCUAACACAUGCAAGUCGAACGGAGUCCAGCCUUUAAGACCUUCGGGUCAAAGAGGGGAAGACUGAGUGGCGGACGGGUGAGUAACACGUGGGCAACCUGGCUCAUAGAGGGGGAUAACAGAGAGAAAUUUCUGCUAAUACCGCAUAAGCACACACUGCCGCAUGGCAGAGGGUGAAAAGAGAAUCGCUAUGAGAUGGACCCGCGUCUGAUUAGCCAGUUGGCAGGGUAAGAGCCUACCAAAGCGACGAUCAGUAGCCGAUCUGAGAGGAUGAACGGCCACAUUGGGACUGAGACACGGCCCAAACUCCUACGGGAGGCAGCAGUGGGGGAUAUUGCACAAUGGGGGGAACCCUGAUGCAGCGACGCCGCGUGAGUGAAGAAGUAUUCCGGUAUGUAAAGCUCUAUCAGCAGGGAAGAUAAUGACAGUACCUGAAUAAGAAGCCCCGGCUAACUACGUG
Molecule: ribosomal RNA, 478 nt
Filed under: uncultured bacterium
Lineage: Bacteria
Description: partial 16S ribosomal RNA
Rfam family: Bacterial small subunit ribosomal RNA
Source: RNAcentral